AACUUUGCACAGUGGCUGUAUCGUAACCAGUGAGGUUUAUCUGAGGUACAAUUAUUGCUGAUUGAAAAGUGUCCACUACACCAAAAGAACUUAAAAUGUAGUUGGCAUUGUCAAUGUUUGAGAGUCUCUGUGGAGA
This is a small nuclear RNA of Budorcas taxicolor (takin), 136 nucleotides long. RefSeq annotates it as U4 spliceosomal RNA. The record is from RefSeq and is a predicted model, not a curated record. The transcript has a single exon. NCBI's taxonomy places the organism in Eukaryota, Metazoa, Chordata, Mammalia, Artiodactyla, Bovidae.